GCGGGGGUACCCGAGUGGCUAAGGGGCAGGGUUCAGGUCCCUGUGGUGUAGGCCUUCGUGGGUUCGAAUCCCACCUCCCGCACCA
RNAcentral lists this transfer RNA (85 nucleotides) under Candidatus Bathyarchaeota archaeon. Its description in RNAcentral is "tRNA-Leu". It matches the Rfam family "tRNA". Rfam says of the family: Transfer RNA (tRNA) molecules are approximately 80 nucleotides in length. Lineage: Archaea; Thermoproteati; Candidatus Bathyarchaeota. The record is from RNAcentral.